UACGUAGGGUGCGAGCGUUGCCCGGAUUUAUUGGGCGUAAAGGGCGCGUAGGCGGCCACGCACGUCCGUUGUGAAAUCGCCCGGCUCAACUGGGCGGGUCAGCGGAUACGGUGUGGCUAGAGCAAGCUAGGGGGCAAUGGAAUUCCCGGUGUAGUGGUGGAAUGCGUAGAUAUCGGGAGGAACACCAGUGGCGAAGGCGGUUGCCUGGAGCUUUGCUGACGCUGAUGCGCGAAAGCGUGGGGAGCGAGUCCGG
This 253-nucleotide ribosomal RNA is filed under the name uncultured bacterium. RNAcentral describes it as "partial 16S ribosomal RNA". It matches the Rfam family "Bacterial small subunit ribosomal RNA", at positions 524 to 777 of the family's 1533-position model. The record is from RNAcentral.